UUCAGGAUGGCCGAGUGGUUAUGGCAUCGGACUCCUAAUCCGAUUGACUGUUGCAUCUUCAGGUUCGAUUCCUGCUCCUGAAC
Molecule: transfer RNA, 83 nt
Filed under: Trichonephila inaurata madagascariensis
Lineage: Eukaryota; Metazoa; Arthropoda; Arachnida; Araneae; Nephilidae
Description: tRNA-Arg
Rfam family: tRNA
About the family: Transfer RNA (tRNA) molecules are approximately 80 nucleotides in length.
Source: RNAcentral